UACGUAGGAGACGAGCGUUGUCCGGAAUCACUGGGCGUAAAGCGCGUGUAGGCGGGUCCGCAAGUCUGCUGUGAAAGUUCCUGGCUUAACCGGGAAAUGUCGGUGGAAACUGCGAACCUGGAGGACGGUAGAGGUAGGUAGAAUUCCCGGUGUAGUGGUGAAAUGCGUAGAGAUCGGGAGGAAUACCUGUGGCGAAGGCGGCCUACUGGGCCGGACCUGACGCUGAGACGCGAAGGCGUGGGGAGCGAACGGG
Molecule: ribosomal RNA, 253 nt
Filed under: uncultured bacterium
Lineage: Bacteria
Description: partial 16S ribosomal RNA
Rfam family: Bacterial small subunit ribosomal RNA
Source: RNAcentral